Molecule: ribosomal RNA, 378 nt
Filed under: uncultured eukaryote
Lineage: Eukaryota
Description: SSU rRNA
Rfam family: Eukaryotic small subunit ribosomal RNA
Source: RNAcentral
AGCUCCAAUAGCGUAUAUUAAAGUUGUUGCGGUAAAAGCUCGUAGUUGGAUUUCUGUUGAGGGCGACCGGUCCGCACCAUGUGCGCGCAUCUGGUUUGGCCUCGGCAUCCUUUCGAUAGACGUUUCUGCGCUUGAUUGCGUGGAGCGGAUUUCGAAACUUUUACUUUGAGGAAAUUAGAGUGUUCACGGCAGGCUAUCGCCAGAAUACAUUAGCAUGGAAUAAUACUAUAGGAUCUCGGUUCUAUUUUGUUGGUUUCUAGCGCCGAGAUAAUGAUUAAUAGGGACAACCGGGGGCAUUCGUAUCAACACGUCAGAGGUGGAAUUCUUGGAUUGUGUUGCGACGAACUACUGCGAAAGCAUCUGUCAUGUAUGUUUUCA